GAUGAACGCUGGCGGCGUGCCUAAUACAUGCAAGUCGAGCGAACAGACGAGGAGCUUGCUCCUCUGACGUUAGCGGCGGACGGGUGAGUAACACGUGGAUAACCUACCUAUAAGACUGGGAUAACUUCGGGACACCGGAGCUAAUACCGGAUAAUCUAUUGAACCGCAUGGUUCAAUAGUGAAAGACGGUUUUGCUGUCACUUAUCGAUGGAUCCGCGCCGCAUUAGCUAGUUGGUAAGGUAACGGCUUACCAAGGCAACGAUGCGUAGCCGACCGGAGAGGGUGAUCGGCCACAUGGGAAGUGAGACACGGUCCAGAGUCCUACGGGAGGCAGCAGUAGGGAAUCUUCCGCAAUGGGCGAAAGCCUGACGGAGCAACGCCGCGUGAGUGAUGAAGGUCUUCGGAUCGUAAAACUCUGUUAUUAGGGAAGAACAGAUGUGUAAGUAACUAUGCACGUCUUGACGGUACCUAAUCAGAAAGCCACGGCUAACUACGUG
Molecule: ribosomal RNA, 497 nt
Filed under: uncultured bacterium
Lineage: Bacteria
Description: partial 16S ribosomal RNA
Rfam family: Bacterial small subunit ribosomal RNA
Source: RNAcentral